Molecule: ribosomal RNA, 478 nt
Filed under: uncultured bacterium
Lineage: Bacteria
Description: partial 16S ribosomal RNA
Rfam family: Bacterial small subunit ribosomal RNA
Source: RNAcentral
GACGAACGCUGGCGGCGUGCUUAACACAUGCAAGUCGAACGGUAAGGCCCUUCGGGGUACACGAGUGGCGAACGGGUGAGUAACACGUGGGUGAUCUGCCCUGCACUUCGGGAUAAGCCUGGGAAACUGGGUCUAAUACCGGAUAGGACUCCUGGCUUCAUGGUUGGGGGUGGAAAGCUUUUGCGGUGUGGGAUGGGCCCGCGGCCUAUCAGCUUGUUGGUGGGGUAAUGGCCUACCAAGGCGACGACGGGUAGCCGGACGGAGAGGGUGACCGGUCACACUGGGACUGAGAUACGGGCCAGACUCCUACGGGAGGCAGCAGUGGGGAAUAUUGCACAAUGGGCGCAAGCCUGAUGCAGCGACGCCGCGUGAGGGAUGACGGCCUUCGGGUUGUAAACCUCUUUCAGCUAUGACGAAGCGCAAGUGACGGUAGUAGCAGAAGAAGGACCGGCCAACUACGUGCCAGCCGCCGCAGUAA